Molecule: long non-coding RNA, 229 nt
Filed under: Nicotiana benthamiana
Lineage: Eukaryota; Viridiplantae; Streptophyta; Magnoliopsida; Solanales; Solanaceae
Description: long non-coding RNA (NBEN_LNC035371)
Source: RNAcentral
GGAGCCUUAAGACUUGCCGGAGAAAGCCUGGACACAGCGGAAAAACCCAUUGGAGGACCUCUGGUCCUACCACCCUUGAAAUACAGCUCCGAUCUUCGAACCCAAGGACCAGGAGAGGUAAAGAGUGAAUCGGUGAAGGAGUUUCAGGUCUUGGAUGGCCAUGAAUGCCGGUGAAGUGAGCAAUAGGACUAGGAUUUUCAAGAAACCUAGAGAGCAUUUGGGAGUGAAG